GAGGGUGUAGCUCAGUGGUAGAGCGCGUGCUCAGCAUGCACGAGGUCCUGGGUUCGAUCCCCAGCACCUCCA
This 72-nucleotide transfer RNA is filed under the name Camelus bactrianus (Bactrian camel). It matches the Rfam family "tRNA". Rfam says of the family: Transfer RNA (tRNA) molecules are approximately 80 nucleotides in length. Their secondary structure includes four short double-helical elements and three loops (D, anti-codon, and T loops). Lineage: Eukaryota; Metazoa; Chordata; Mammalia; Artiodactyla; Camelidae. RNAcentral also lists the same sequence under 1 other name. The record is from Rfam by way of RNAcentral.